This 268-nucleotide ribosomal RNA is filed under the name uncultured Pseudomonas sp. RNAcentral's name for it is "partial 16S ribosomal RNA". It matches the Rfam family "Bacterial small subunit ribosomal RNA", at positions 1115 to 1382 of the family's 1533-position model. The record is from RNAcentral. Lineage: Bacteria; Pseudomonadati; Pseudomonadota; Gammaproteobacteria; Pseudomonadales; Pseudomonadaceae.
UUACCAGCACGUUAUGUGGGCACUCUAAGGAGACUGCCGGUGACAAACCGGAGGAAGGUGGGGAUGACGUCAAGUCAUCAUGGCCCUUACGGCCUGGGCUACACACGUGCUACAAUGGUCGGGUACAAAGGGUUGCCAAGCCGCGAGGUGGAGCUAAUCCCAUAAAACCGAUCGUAGUCCGGAUCGCAGUCUGCAACUCGACUGCGUGAAGUCGGAAUCGCUAGUAAUCGUGAAUCAGAAUGUCACGGUGAAUACGUUCCCGGGCCUU